UGGGGAAUUUUGGACAAUGGGGGCAACCCUGAUCCAGCAAUGCCGCGUGUGUGAAGAAGGCCUUCGGGUUGUAAAGCACUUUUGUCCGGGAAGAAAUCGCACCUGAUAAUACCGGGUGUGGAUGACGGUACCGGAAGAAUAAGGACCGGCUAACUACGUGCCAGCAGCCGCGGUAAUAGGUAGGGUCCAAGCGUUAAUCGGAAUUACUGGGCGUAAAGCGUGCGCAGGCGGUUGUGCAAGACCGAUGUGAAAUCCCCGGGCUUAACCUGGGAAUUGCAUUGGUGACUGCACGGCUAGAGUGUGUCAGAGGGGGGUAGAAUUCCACGUGUAGCAGUGAAAUGCGUAGAGAUGUGGAGGAAUACAGAUGGCGAAGGCAGCCCCCUGGGAUAACACUGACGCUCAUGCACGAAAGCGUGGGGAGCAAACAGG
This 429-nucleotide ribosomal RNA is filed under the name bacterium. Its description in RNAcentral is "partial 16S ribosomal RNA". It matches the Rfam family "Bacterial small subunit ribosomal RNA", at positions 355 to 776 of the family's 1533-position model. The record is from RNAcentral.